This 525-nucleotide ribosomal RNA is filed under the name Triticum aestivum (bread wheat). Its description in RNAcentral is "partial small subunit ribosomal RNA". The record is from RNAcentral. Lineage: Eukaryota; Viridiplantae; Streptophyta; Magnoliopsida; Poales; Poaceae.
AUGGCAGUCACUAAAUGCUUAGCUCUUGGUUUGAUUGUCGUGUUUGGCAUUGGGUUAGCCAAUGCUGCGAGGGUAGCUAAAUACUCUAGUUCCGAAGGAACCGGCACGGGAGGAGGAGAGGGUGGUGGUUCCGUCAAUGGUGCUGGAUCAGGGUCUGGGGUUGCUGUUGGGUCUGCAGGAAAUGGUGAAAAUGGGGGGUUCGUCCAUGGAAGUGGUGGUGGUGGAGGAGGAGGUGGCGGUGGUGGACAAAAUGGUGGGUCUGGACGUGGAUCUGGAUCUGCCUUGGGCUCAGGCUCGACCCAGAUUGGUCCAGACCCUUUUGGUGGAUCUUCUAGUGCUAGUGGUCAUGGUGGCGGUCGAGGCGGAGGACAAGUUAGAGGCUACGAUGGAUCUAGUGGUUCUGGGAAUGGUGGCGGCACUGGCUCUGGCGCUAGUGAGUCAAACAAUGGGUACUGGUCCGGUGGUGCUUAUGCCAAUGCUAAUGCUUCUGGCAACGGUGGAGGGAGAGGUUGUUGGGGAUCGUAG